Molecule: long non-coding RNA, 1439 nt
Filed under: Felis catus (domestic cat)
Lineage: Eukaryota; Metazoa; Chordata; Mammalia; Carnivora; Felidae
Description: lncRNA (ENSFCAG00000042334.2)
Source: RNAcentral
GUAAAUACAUAAUUGCAUAUUAGAGCCAGUGUUAUAAAGGCAAGCAAAAGUAUACUAGGAGAAGGGCUAAGGACUAACAAGGAGAGAGGAAUAGGAAAGCAUUUCUGAGGUAAUGGUUAAGUUGAGAGCUGAAUGUUGACUAUGUUUAUAGCACAUGUUUGCAUACUUAGGUAUUUUCUUGCUAGAUCUAAGUUUCCACAUGCAUAAUGUUUUUUAUUUCCUCUACAGGAUCUAUAGGACAUUGUUUGUAGGCUGAUUUGAUAAAUGUUGCAUGCAUUGAAAGGGAGCUGCCCACUUUGGAAAAACCUAACUCGCAUAAAGAAGGAUGGAAAAAAGAAUGUCCAAGGAGGAGGAAGGGUGAGAAAGUGGCACAUUCCCUAUCAGUGCACCAGAAGCUGUGUUCAGAAACAACUAUAAUACAAGAAAGAAAAUAGUGCUUCAGAAGAAGAGGGCGCCAUAACUUAGGGUAGUUCAAAAGAAGAUGAAAUUAGCUACACACUGCUUUGGUAUUUCAUGUCCAUUAACUUCUCCACCUUGCAACCAGGAAUAAUUGCCAAUUGAUUAUUUCAGGUGAAAAAGAUGUACAGUUGGAACCUGCUUAAAAGAGAUUUUGUUUAUCUAGCAUCUUCUGAGUAAUUCUGGACCUCAAACACCUUUAACUGUUUCUAGGCAUUGAAAUGCAGAUAUUUGCUUGCCUUCUUUCAGAAGCCAACUUCCUCUGCUGGGUGGUGGAGGAGGGGCCAAGAAGACAUUCAGUCUAGCGGUCUCUCUUAAGUACUCUGUAAGAUCAUGCAUAUCUUCCUAGAUGCUUCUAGUAGCCUUCUCAGGUUACCACCCAGGCUGGGAAAAUUGUCAACAUUUAUUCCAUUGCACAUAUGAAACUAUUUCAAAUGCAAUUAUAAGGUAGGAUAGGAAAUAUUUAAAAACUUGAUAAAUAGGACUUUUCCCCAGAGUACCAGAAAGACGGUACUUAAGUAAUUUAGGCCCUUCCCAAGAUGGUCUUGUGAGUUUCACAAGUCCUAGGUGAUCCUACUUCCCUAAGAUUCUUACCCUCUCUCUAGCAUGUUUUUCAGUUCUCUGUGAUAAUACCCAUCCACUUCUCUCAUUAAGUGCCAUCCCACUCUCAAUGUCCAACUCCUUCUCUCUGCAUUUGUUCAGUCUGAGGUCUUCAUCUGUACAAAAGCUUCUAGAGUCCUUGGGAUGAUCAGAGACACAGUUGAAACCUAAGCCCUUUUGCUGUCUUUGGUUUUCCUACUCUUUGGACAAUUGAACUGAUGUGAAUGGCAGACAUGUUUAUUAAACUGUAACAUGCUAAGAGCAAACAAAUGCACUUCUCUCAAAGACAAAUAUGAACUUUCAGGAACAGCAGAGUCCAAAAAAUACUGAGAAAUGAAAUGUUUCUUUAAUAAACAAGUUUCCUUUCCUUUCCGGUGGAGCCA